ACCUAUUACCAAACCUCCUUUUCAAUGCCUGAUCUUGUCUGACCUCGGAAGUUAAGCAGGGUUGAGCCUGGUCAAGUAUUUGGAUGGGAGACCACAGUGAAUAUCAAGUACAACAGGGA
Molecule: ribosomal RNA, 119 nt
Filed under: Periophthalmus magnuspinnatus
Lineage: Eukaryota; Metazoa; Chordata; Actinopteri; Gobiiformes; Gobiidae
Source: RNAcentral